AGUACCGCGUGGCUAGGGAAGACGGAUGUAAACAAAGACUGUGUCCUUCUCAAAAACCUGCAAAUCCGGACGUUAUGCUGAUUUCCCCUGACAUUUUUAAAAAUGUUUUUCUGUCAAGCCGACAGAAUAGACUUUCGCUGUCCAUAAUGCAAGAGGCACACCUUUUGGAAGCAUGGCCUCAAAUUAUUGAGGAAGCACGCCACGAAUCUAUCACAAUGCAGGACUUGAGGGGCUGAUCAUUGAGGACAUGCAUGACGUUCAGUACACAUUCUCAAUUGGACCAGAGGUGUGUGCCUCUAUGACAGCAGUGUGUGCAGCGGAGAGGGGGAUCAGUCCAUCUCUGCCUUUUGGAGUUCAGAUCCUGUCUGCAGCAAACAGCUCUUGCUGUUGCACUGGCUUCAGGUUGAUAUAGCUGGCUUUGCUUAUUAGUGAUUAAUACAUGCAUGCAAGAGUGCUUCAGGCUAGGCUGGAAUUUGAGUUUAAUAGAAAGAUCCGUGUUAAGAGGUUGGGAAAAGCAAAUGUUUAGCUACCUAUUUUUCGUUGUUGUCUAUUUCCAAGGUAUGGAUUUUAUCAGGGCAGAGGGAUAUGUCUUCUCACAUGUUGCUGAUGAAGGCCUUUUGAAUGCAUGUGUCGGAGUCCUUUUGCGAUACGGCAAGCAAAUAAAGGCUGAACAUGUACAGAUCUUCACUGAUAUAAAAAAGAAGCACAGGUGCGCAAUCGUUCAAAAAACAUUCCAGUCAGACAACCCCACUGGCUAGCCUAGAUGUCCUGAUAUGGCAUUUCAGAAGGUUUUCAACAUGCAAGUAUUGCGGCUAAUAUUAUCCGUAAACGGUACAGCAAGGAGAUGAAAGGUACAAUUUCUGACUUUUGUAGUAAGUGUAAUUGGAUGUUUUGUGAUUUGUGGGUUUGUGUUUCUAGCUCCCAUGCCCUGACUUCAGAUGUGAGCAUAGUGGAGUCGACGGCCAGAGCAGCUGCGUUUUUUCCUCUCUGACGGGCUCAUUAUCACUGGAACAGCCACAGGGGUUCAGGCAGAUCUAGUGGAACUCAGAGGUGUGUCCUGUCUCUGAAUGUUCUGACACAUACAGACAUGUAUGUACGGUAUGACACACACACACAUGUAUGGUAUGACGCACAAACAUACUGACACAUACAGUAAUAUAAAAAGACCCCCAACUCGUUUAAAUGAAUACCAAAAAAAAACAAAUAAGUCAUAGGCUAUUACUGUGUAAUCACUAUUUUACCACUUGGAUCAAAGGGCAGCCGACACUCAGCACAUACAUUAUAUAUCUGAGGCAUAAUGCUAGGUGUAUCAUUUUAGGAAUGCUCAGCGUGCAUCUUAGUACAAACAUAGUUUACUUUCCCUUUUUCAUUUUCUCUCAAACAUGCCUGUAGUCUUGGUUAAUAAGGGAGUGCCCUUUUUCUAAAUGUCAUACAUUCUCCCUAACCAUAACACACACCCUAACAAAAGUAUGUUCAGUCACCUCACUCAAUUCCAUACCACUCCCACUGCAUACGAGUCUAUGGCAUACUUCCUACAUUUGAAAGGGCAGAUAGUUCCUGGCGUUAGUUUUUCAUGUGGCCCAGAGGUUAAGCUUCCCUAAAGCCCAUGGAGCCUCUGGGCCUCGCUGCUGGCCUUAUAAAGAGCAGCCUCGUCUGGGGAGAGGAUGGCAGCCUCACAGUCCCCCCCAGUCUGGAUCAUGCUGACCAUGGGCACAGAGCCAGGUCCUGCCCUUGCCUGCCACAGCCCUGCUUGGCUAAUAUAGACACCAACAUCGUCUGCUAUUUUUAAGCACAGCCUACAGAUGGCUGACUUAGAUAGAAGGCUGUAAACACAGGCAGGCUCUGGCCAGACUGCCGCACAACCCUGCUGCCUAGUUUGGAGGUGCUCCUACAGUCUCCCAGUAUGAUUUCAUUGGGCUGGCACUGUCGUCAGAUUGGUAUAUGGAGCUGCCAGAGUCUGGAUUGAUCUCUUUCCUCAUGUGUUUUUCUCAUAUCAUCUCUGAACAUACUUUUACCAUUUAUUUAUCAGAGAUGAUGCAUGACACUUGCAAU
Long non-coding RNA from Salvelinus fontinalis (brook trout), 2052 nucleotides. RefSeq lists it as uncharacterized. Lineage: Eukaryota; Metazoa; Chordata; Actinopteri; Salmoniformes; Salmonidae. The record is from RefSeq and is a predicted model, not a curated record. The transcript has 3 exons.